CGUAGUCGAUGGGAAACAGGUUAAUAUUCCUGUACUUGGUGUUACUGCGAAGGGGGGACGGAGAAGGCUAUGUUGGCCGGGCGACGGUUGUCCCGGUUUAAGCGUGUAGGCUGGUUUUCCAGGCAAAUCCGGAAAACCAAGGCUGAGGCGUGAUGACGAGGCACUACGGUGCUGAAGCGACAAAUGCCCUGCUUCCAGGAAAAGCCUCUAAGCAUCAGGUAACAUCAAAUCGUACCCCAAACCGACACAGGUGGUCAGGUAGAGAAUACCAAGGCGCUUGAGAGAACUCGGGUGAAGGAACUAGGCAAAAUGGUGCCGUAACUUCGGGAGAAGGCACGCUGAUAUGUAGGUGAAGCGACUUGCUCGUGGAGCUGAAAUCAGUCGAAGAUACCAGCUGGCUGCAACUGUUUAUUAAAAACACAGCACUGUGCAAACACGAAAGUGGACGUAUACGGUGUGACGCCUGCCCGGUGCCGGAAGGUUAAUUGAUGGGGUUAGCGGCAACGCGAAGCUCUUGAUCGAAGCCCCGGUAAACGGCGGCCGUAACUAUAACGGUCCUAAGGUAGCGAAAUUCCUUGUCGGGUAAGUUCCGACCUGCACGAAUGGCGUAAUGAUGGCCAGGCUGUCUCCACCCGAGACUCAGUGAAAUUGAACUCGCUGUGAAGAUGCAGUGUACCCGCGGCAAGACGGAAAGACCCCGUGAACCUUUACUAUAGCUUGACACUGAACAUUGAGCCUUGAUGUGUAGGAUAGGUGGGAGGCUUUGAAGUGUGGACGCCAGUCUGCAUGGAGCCGACCUUGAAAUACCACCCUUUAAUGUUUGAUGUUCUAACGUUGGCCCCUAAUCGGGGUUGCGGACAGUGUCUGGUGGGUAGUUUGACUGGGGCGGUCUCCUCCUAAAGAGUAACGGAGGAGCACGAAGGUUGGCUAAUCCUGGUCGGACAUCAGGAGGUUAGUGCAAUGGCAUAAGCCAGCUUGACUGCGAGCGUGACGGCGCGAGCAGGUGCGAAAGCAGGUCAUAGUGAUCCGGUGGUUCUGAAUGGAAGGGCCAUCGCUCAACGGAUAAAAGGUACUCCGGGGAUAACAGGCUGAUACCGCCCAAGAGUUCAUAUCGACGGCGGUGUUUGGCACCUCGAUGUCGGCUCAUCACAUCCUGGGGCUGAAGUAGGUCCCAAGGGUAUGGCUGUUCGCCAUUUAAAGUGGUACGCGAGCUGGGUUUAGAACGUCGUGAGACAGUUCGGUCCCUAUCUGCCGUGGGCGCUGGAGAACUGAGGGGGGCUGCUCCUAGUACGAGAGGACCGGAGUGGACGCAUCACUGGUGUUCGGGUUGUCAUGCCAAUGGCACUGCCCGGUAGCUAAAUGCGGAAGAGAUAAGUGCUGAAAGCAUCUAAGCACGAAACUUGCCCCGAGAUGAGUUCUCCCUGAGACUUAGAGUCUCCUGAAGGAACGUUGAAGACGACGACG
RNAcentral lists this ribosomal RNA (1464 nucleotides) under Escherichia coli. RNAcentral's name for it is "partial 23S ribosomal RNA". It matches the Rfam family "Bacterial large subunit ribosomal RNA", at positions 1410 to 2852 of the family's 2925-position model. Lineage: Bacteria; Pseudomonadati; Pseudomonadota; Gammaproteobacteria; Enterobacterales; Enterobacteriaceae. The record is from RNAcentral.